This is a non-coding RNA of Triticum urartu, 1888 nucleotides long. The record is from RefSeq and is a predicted model, not a curated record. NCBI's taxonomy places the organism in Eukaryota, Viridiplantae, Streptophyta, Magnoliopsida, Poales, Poaceae.
UCCAUGCGUACAGUCCAUUAACUUCCUAGAUAAUGAUUCCGCAACAAAAAAAACUUCCUAGAUUAAUGGGCUGGAAUGGGCUGGCCGAGGGCUUCGUUUCGGCCUCUGUAGCAGCAGCCCAUAGGACACCUGGGCCAUUAUUUGAUAGAUGUGCGGGAACCCUAGUAGCCGCCGCCCGCCGCCACCCGCUGUGCCCAUCCCCAUGGCCGCUUCCCCUCCUCCGACGAAAGUGGUCGCCGGCGCUGAAGACGGGAACUCCUCCUCCGCCAUCCCCAAGAUCCAGCCGACGGAGGCCAAAGUCGGCGAAGAGAAGGCCGCCGCCAUGGAAGCAACGUCAUGGUUUGGCCGGUUUGGGCAGCUCUACUUGGCCCUCUCGUCAUCCGCGCCUCGCCGGUCAAGACAGAAACCGAGAGGGGGAAGGCCACCGGUGCAGCGACGGGAACUCCUCCGCCGCCAGUCCCAAGACCCACCCGCCGCACGCCGGAAGUGCCUGUGUGAAGACAUCCUGGCCAGGCCGCUUUGGCCAGUACUACUACCCCGUCCUCCUUGCACUGCUCAUCCGCAUCUUACCGGUGAACAAUGAAACAAAAGCACUUGAGGGAGACUGAAGAUAUAUGUGCAGCUGCGCAGCUACUUUAUGAGACAGAGAAGGUAAUCGAUGGAAGUAUUAUCUUGCAAUUGGAAUGUAGUAAUGCAGUCCAAGUAUAGUUGCUGAAUUUUCCAUCUUUAUGAGCAUGGUUUCAGUGUUACUAAGCUAAUUUACAUUGAGACUGAAGCAACAAGGCAUACCACUACCAGUUGGUACUAGUAAAUAGUACUCCCUCCGUUCCAAAAUAGAUGACCCAACUUUGUACUAACUUUGUACUAAAGUUAGUACAAAGUUGGGUCAUCUAUUUUGGAACGGAGGGAGUACUAAUUUUGUUAUCACAAAAUGAAAGCAGAGCAGGAUAAUGACGUUGAGUAAAUGAACAACAAAAUCUUCCAUGUCUUUAAUGACGAAAUCAGAUAAUGAAAAUUUGAUAUUGUGAAUUAAAUUUAGCCGCAAAGUGUGUUCUGGAAAAGCAUCCCCAAAAUAUUAAAUCCAAAUUAGUGAGAAAGAUAAAUCCAAAAUUUACUAAAUUUAAAUUCAUAAUAAUGUUAUUAGAUUGUGUUGAUCUCUAGUCAUAGGAUAUAUUGAUCUGUUAAUUGGGUGAUUCUUCUAGUUACCAUUUCCCAAUGACUCAAUCAGGUCAUUGAUUGGUUUCCCACCUAUUAAUCUUAUAUCCAAACUUAUUCAUACACUAGACAAUGUAUAGAACUAUCGAUAAUUAUUCGGUUUCCCAUUUUUUUUCAAGGCUAGUAAAUUGCUAUUUUGUCCUUUGAUUCUAAAUCGUUGGAAAACUUGGAGAAGAUGGUAAUGAAUAUGUUUUACAAUGCUUGUGUUCUUCUCUUAAGAUUCUACAGAUGUUGUUGUCAGCUAUCUACAUCAUAUUAUAGUACUCCCUCCGUAAACUAAUAUAAGAGCGUUUAGAUCACUACUUUAGUGGUCUAAAUGCUCUUAUAUUAGUUUACAGAGGGAGUAUAUGUUUAGACGGUAGUGCUCAUGUCAGUUCUCGUGCUCGGGUGCUUCUUAUUUUAUGAAAUGUGUCUUUGACCAAGUCUCUGCGGCAGACCAACAGUAUGGAGAGGCUGGAGAUUAUUUGUUGUAUGUUCAUCAAAAGAUGACCCCUUAAAACUCUAUGCAAGACAAUGUGUACAGUCGACUUUUUAUGUGUUUGCAUUGGGAUAUUAUGUACUUCUACUCUUGGGGUGUUGGAUAUUAUGUACUUCCACUGUUCGGUGUUGGAUGUUGGAUAUGUGGAGCAUAACUGUUCAGCUCUCCGCAUGACAAUAUACUUCUAAUUUUAUA